This 378-nucleotide ribosomal RNA is filed under the name uncultured bacterium. Its description in RNAcentral is "partial 16S ribosomal RNA". It matches the Rfam family "Bacterial small subunit ribosomal RNA", at positions 392 to 795 of the family's 1533-position model. The record is from RNAcentral.
CCAUACCGCGUGCGUGAAGAAGGCCUUCGGGUUGUAAAGCCCUUUUGUUGGGAAAGCGGUACCCAAAGAAUAAGCACCGGCUAACUUCGUGCCAGCAGCCGCGGUAAUACGAAGGGUGCAAGCGUUACUCGGAAUUACUGGGCGUAAAGCGUGCGUAGGUGGUUGUUUAAGUCUGUCGUGAAAGCCCUGGGCUCAACCUGGGAAUUGCGAUGGAAACUGGGCGACUAGAGUGUGGUAGAGGGUAGUGGAAUUUCCGGUGUAGCAGUGAAAUGCGUAGAGAUCGGAAGGAACAUCUGUGGCGAAGGCGACUACCUGGACCAAACUGACACUGAGGCACGAAAGCGUGGGGAGCAAACAGGAUUAGAUACCCUUGUAGUC